This 2179-nucleotide ribosomal RNA is filed under the name Mortoniella sp. MN3. RNAcentral describes it as "partial large subunit ribosomal RNA". Lineage: Eukaryota; Metazoa; Arthropoda; Insecta; Trichoptera; Glossosomatidae. The record is from RNAcentral.
CGGGAAUGUGACGUUAGGGAGGAGAGUAAAAUUUAUAAACGCGCUGUCAUUAGUCACGUCCGCCUGUCCAAGUUCAUCUUGAACGGGGCCGCUUACCCGCAGAGGGUGCCAGGCCCGUAGCGACGGUGGACGGCAGCGACGGUCUCCCUCCCGAGAGUCGGGUUGCUUGAGAAUGCAGCCCUAAGCGGGUGGUAAACUCCAUCUAAGGCUAAAUACGACCACGAGACCGAUAGCGAACAAGUACCGUGAGGGAAAGUUGAAAAGAACUUUGAAGAGAGAGUUCAAUAGUACGUGAAACCGACCAGGGGUAAACCUGUGGAACUCGAACGAGCGAACGGGGAGAUCAUCGCCUCCGGCCUGCGGCCCGGCGGUCGCGUGUCGUCGCCUCGCCUCCCGCGUCGUCCUUCGGGGCGGCGUCGUCGGAGCGCGUGGGGCCCGCGGCCGCCGACAGCGGUCCACCGGGGGCGUGCACUUCUCCCUCAGUAAAACACCGCGACCCGUCGCGCUGUGCGGUCGAAUGCGCCGUGCGGUUGACCCGCCCCCCGCGUCGGGGGCGGAGCCGCGGCGUCCACGGCCGCAGCGGCGACGGUAUAUAAUGUGAAACGAGGUUCGCGCCGGCGCACCUUCGGGUGCGCGUCCGACGCGCCGCGGUCUCGAUCGUCGCACGGUCCGGGUGCGCCCUAGCGGUCCCCGGUAACCGAGCGGUCGCGUCGAAGGCGUCAGUGGUGCGCUCUCGGACCCUAUGUCACGUAGUUGGCGCGUCCCAGUCAGCGGUGGGUUUGUUUCGGGCACUCACAGGACCCGUCUUGAAACACGGACCAAGGAGUCUAGCAUGUGCGCGAGUCACUGGGACAUUUUCGAAUUAAACCCACGGGCGCAAUGAAAGUGAACUGGCGGGCCUCGCGCCCGCCGGAGGGAGGAUGCGCGUCCGGUCGCUAACGCUCGGCCGGCGCGCCGCAUUCCNNNNNNNNNNNNNNNNNNNNNNNNNNNNNNNNNNNNNNNNNNNNNNNNNNNNNNNNNNNNNNNNNNNNNNNNNNNNNNNNNNNNNNNNNNNNNNNNNNNNUGAUGGAGGACGAGCGAUUCUGACGUGCAAAUCGAUCGUCGGAACUGGGUAUAGGGGCGAAAGACUAAUCGAACUAUCUAAUAGCUGGUUCCAUCCGAAGUUUCCCUCAGGAUAGCUGGCGCCCGUGAAACAUGACGCGCGAGCGCGUCAUUUGAUCAGUCUCAUUUGGUAAAGCGAAUGAUUAGAGGCAUUGGGGCCGAAACGGCCUCAACCUAUUCUCAAACUUUAAAUGGGUGAGAUCUCCGUCUUGCUUAAAUUAAGCGCCGUCAAACCGCGCUAGAAGUCGGAGUUCGGAUGUGGGUGCCAAGUGGGCCAAUUUUGGUAAGCAGAACUGGCGCUGUGGGAUGAACCAAACGUCGAGUUAAGGCGCCAAACGAACGCUCAUCGGAGACCAUAAAAGGCGUUGGUCGCUCAGGACAGCAGGACGGUGGCCAUGGAAGUCGGAAUCCGCUAAGGAGWGUGUAACAACUCACCUGCCGAAGCAACCAGCCCUGAAAAUGGAUGGCGCUGUAGCGUUCGGCCUAUACUCGACCGUCGCAGGCAGGAGGUGCGGCGGCGGCUACUCCCCUAGCGGGCGGGCCGUCGCAGUUUUGAAGCCGCGACGAGUAGGAUGGCCGCGGCGGUGAGCGCAGAAGGGUCUGGGCGUGAGCCCGCCUGGAGCCGCCGUCGGCGCAGAUCUUGGUGGUAGUAGCAAAUACUCAAGCGAGGUCCUUGAGGGCUGAUGUGGAGAAGGGUUUCGCGUUAACAGUCGUUGCACGCGAGUUAGUCGAUCCUAAGCCCUAGGAGAAAUCCGAUGUAGAUGAUGGUGUUGAAGUUGUUGAUUAUAUGAUAUGAUAUAAAAACACCCUUCGGGCGAAAGGGAAUCCGGUUGCAGUUCCGGAACCCGGCAGCGGAACCGUCUUAAAAAAACGUUCCCUCGUAAGAGUGUUCGUCGAGGUGACUCAAAAUGGCCUGAAGACGCCGACGGGAGAUCCGGAGAGAGUUAUCUUUUCUGCCUGAGCGUUCGAACGCGCCAUGGAAUCCCAUAGCGGGGAGAUAUGGCACGGGACGCGAAGAGCAUCGCCGAUGCGGCGGUGUCCGGAUCGGCCCCUCGGACCUUGAAAAUUCAGGUGAGGG